GAGCCGUUAGCUCAGCCGGUAGAGCACCUGCCUUUUAAGCAGGGGGUCGGUGGUUCGAUCCCACCACGGCUCACCA
Molecule: transfer RNA, 76 nt
Filed under: Candidatus Rokubacteria bacterium RIFCSPLOWO2_02_FULL_68_19
Lineage: Bacteria; Candidatus Rokuibacteriota
Also listed under: 2 other names
Description: tRNA-Lys
Rfam family: tRNA
About the family: Transfer RNA (tRNA) molecules are approximately 80 nucleotides in length. Their secondary structure includes four short double-helical elements and three loops (D, anti-codon, and T loops).
Source: RNAcentral